This 518-nucleotide long non-coding RNA is filed under the name Pan troglodytes (chimpanzee). RNAcentral describes it as "long non-coding RNA NONPTRT017192". The record is from RNAcentral. Lineage: Eukaryota; Metazoa; Chordata; Mammalia; Primates; Hominidae.
CUUCUUUAUCUACAUAUAAUAUGUGUGUGUGUAUAUAUAUAUGUGUGUGUAUAUCUCCAAAUAUCACCUGUGCAUGUAUAAGGCAAACCAUAUAUAUAUAUAUAUGAUUUCCUCAACAAACAAAUUGCAAGAAACAAACAAAAAAAGAGAGUAAAGGAUUUAUAAAUUGAAGGAGAUUUAAAAGACAUAUUAGCCAACCACGUACAGUGUAUGGAUUCAGACUAAUGGGAGAUAAUCAUUGAAAUUUGAAUAUGGACUGAAUAUUUAUUUAAUAAUAUUAAGGUGUUACUUCUUUAUUUUCAAAGAUAUAAUAAUGGCAGUUUGAUUAAGUGUUUAAAAUCUUAUCUUUCACAUCUGACACUAAAAUAUUUAUGAAUGAUAUACUGUCUAGGAUUUCCCUCCAAAUAGUAAAGGGAAGAGAAAUGGAGAUACAGAAGAAAUAAGAUAGGCCUGAACUUGAGCAUAGUUGAACUUGGUUGAUGAGCACAUUAAGGCACAUUGUACUAUUCUCUCUAUUU